This 198-nucleotide ribosomal RNA is filed under the name uncultured bacterium. RNAcentral describes it as "partial 16S ribosomal RNA". It matches the Rfam family "Bacterial small subunit ribosomal RNA", at positions 328 to 539 of the family's 1533-position model. The record is from RNAcentral.
ACGCUCGACACCUACGGGAGGCAGCAGUGGGGAAUAUUGCACAAUGGGGGAAACCCUGAUGCAGCGACGCCGCGUGGAGGAAGAAGGUCUUCGGAUUGUAAACUCCUGUUGUUGGGGAAAAAGNGGAUGGUACCCAACAAGGAAGUGACGGCUAACUACGUGCUAGCAGCCGCGGUAAUCUGAGCGGGCUGGCAAGGC